RNAcentral lists this ribosomal RNA (420 nucleotides) under bacterium. RNAcentral's name for it is "partial 16S ribosomal RNA". It matches the Rfam family "Bacterial small subunit ribosomal RNA", at positions 355 to 776 of the family's 1533-position model. The record is from RNAcentral.
UGGGGGAUAUUGCACAAUGGGCGAAAGCCUGAUGCAGCGACGCCGCGUGGGGGAUGAAGGCUUUCGGGUGGUAAACCUCUUUCGCUAUCGAACAAGGCCCGCUUAGGGUGGGUGGAGGGUAGGUGGAGAAGAAGCGCCGGCUAACUACGUGCCAGCAGCCGCGGUAAUACGUAGGGCGCGAGCGUUGUCCGGAAUUAUUGGGCGUAAAGGGCUUGUAGGCGGCUUGUUGCGCCUGCUGUGAAAACGCGGGGCUUAACUUCGCGCGUGCAGUGGGUACGGGCAGGCUUGAGUGUGGUAGGGGUGACUGGAAUUCCAGGUGUAGCGGUGGAAUGCGCAGAUAUCUGGAGGAACACCGAUGGCGAAGGCAGGUCACUGGGCCAUUACUGACGCUGAGGAGCGAAAGCAUGGGUAGCGAACAGG